RNAcentral lists this ribosomal RNA (419 nucleotides) under uncultured bacterium. RNAcentral's name for it is "bacterial SSU rRNA". It matches the Rfam family "Bacterial small subunit ribosomal RNA", at positions 355 to 786 of the family's 1533-position model. The record is from RNAcentral.
UGGGGAAUAUUGGGCAAUGGGCGAAAGCCUGACCCAGCAACGCCGCGUGGAGGAAGAAGGUUUUCGGAUCGUAAACUCCUGUCCUAAGAGACGAGGAAGAGACGGUAUCUUAGGAGGAAGCCCCGGCGUAACACUACGUGCCAGCAGCCGCGGUAAUACGUAGGGGCGAAGCGUUGUCCGGAAUGAUUGGGCGUAAAGGGCGCGUAGGCGGCUCGGUAAGUCUGGAGUGAAAGUCCUGGCUUUAAGUUGAGAAUUGCUUUGGAUACUGUCGGGCUUGAGUGCAGGAGAGGUUAGUGGAAUUCCCAGUGUAGCGGUGAAAUGCGUAGAGAUUGGGAGGAACACCAGUGGCGAAGGCGACUAACUGGACUGUAACUGACGCUGAGGCGCGAAAGUGUGGGGAGCAAACAGGAUUAGAUACC